CUUGGAAACUAUUUGGUGAAUAUCCUUAGUUUAUGACAAUGUAGUUCUUUGCAUAAAUUCAAUAAGAAUUUAUUUUCUUUUAUAACAGGACAUAAUUGGAGACACUGGUGAUUUUAUCAAGACUUUGACUGUAAUGACAUUUUCAGACUGCCUUGAGAAAAUGAGGCUGACCUAUAAAGCCAAUAAAAGCCCCUUGGAAAAUUUGGGAUCAUACAUUGUUAUUUGCAGAGUCCUGACCUGUGCCCACCUUUCCCCUUUAAAUAAUGAAACCCUCAAAAUCAUAUUUGAAGAAAGGCACAGACCACAGACUGUUUCUGCAAUUCCAUGUUCAUUUGUUCCAGGUAUGUCCUUAACCUGCCUACUGAUGUGUGGACUUCAGAGUAAUAUGGCCUAUGUCAGUUUUCCAAAACUGUUUUCACUUUUUGUUUGUUCGUUGUUUUCUUUCUCUCUAAACUCCUAAAUUGAUUGAGGACCUGUCUCAGAUACUUUUGGGUUUACACCACAUUAUCCCUGUCCUUAUCUUUUUUUUUUUUUUUUGGAGACAGAUUCUUGCACUGUCACCUGGGCUGGAGUGCGGUGGCACAAUGUCACCUCACUGCAACUUCCGUCUCCCAGGUUCAAGCAAUCCUCUUGCCUCAGCCUCCCCAGUAGUUGAGAUUUUACAGGCACCUGCCACCACGCCUGGCUAAUUUUUUGUAUUUUUAGUAAAGACGGGGUUUCACUAUGUUGGCCAGGCUGGUCUCAAACUCCUGACCUCGUGAUUCACCUGCUCGACCUCCCAAAAUGCUGGGAUUACAGGUGUGAGCCACUAUACUAGGCCUCCUUGUCCUUAUCUUAAGUGAGCACUGGAAAAUGUGUUCUCCUUAGAGUCUGAGCAGCUUUCUCAGACAACUCCCUGUCCACAGAAGGUUGAAUACCCACUCCCACUUGGAGUCUAUUUACAAUUUCCUUUAGUCUUGACUGAUAGCUAUUUUGGCAUGUCUCUCAAAAAUUUAGCCAGCUUCUUCCAUAUUUGAUUCAAGCUAGCUCUACAUACCUUGAUUGUGUGUCUCCAUUGUACUAAGUCACAACUUUCUCUUUUACUUCAUUCUUGUCGGUACCUUGAAUCUAUCAAGCUCUGUCAUGGGAAGACCUGUGCCAUGUUGUUCAACUGAAAAGAUUCUGGGGUACCACUUUAAUCUGUAUGGAGGUUUUAGUCACAUGUGUGACUAUCACACCCGUAAUUUGAUCCUUGCCAAGAGGUUGAGUUCUAAUCAGCCUUUGUUGCUCAUCUCAGUUUUGUUUUUUAAUGAAUAAUAAUGAGAAUCACUUGCAUCUUCUAAAUGUGCAUGUCUCCAAGUUUAUAGCGCCCUAUAAUCACUUUCAUUCCUAACUGCAAGCUGGACAAUUAUUUUCUGAACUCAUCGUUUCCUGUAGUAUUGAGGCAGGAAAAUAGGGUCUGGAGGCAGGGAGAUUAAUUAAAUCUUUUUUAAUUAUCUAAGGCUGAUUCACACUGACUUCGUAAAACUAAAUCAAAAGGAAAACCCCAGCUUCCCACGCCCAAGUAACGAAAGGACUCAAGGCUACUCCCUUUGCAACCUCCAUCUUUUCCGGGUGGCUGAUAAAAAAAUUGUAAGUACCUCUGAUUGAUCCCCUCCUGCAACCAAUCAGGCUGAUCACAGGCCAAGUCUUCCUUUGCAUAGGAGUAUAACUUUGUAACUUCACUUCAGCCUCUGAUUCGUCAUUUUCUGCAACCAAUUAGACAUUUGCAUAGGGUGUAACUGUGACUCUGCUUCAGUCUCUGAUUGGUCCCCUCCUGCAACCAAUCAGACUGAUUGUAGGCCAAUACUUCAUUUGCAUAGGGUGUACACCAAGUAACCAAUGGGAAACCUCUAGAGGGUAUUUAAACCCCAGAAAAUUCUGUAAUGGGGUCCUUGAGCCACUUUCUCCAGCCCGUUUGUACCCUACAUAGUGUGCUUUCCUUUUCAAUAAACCUCUGCUUUUG
Papio anubis (olive baboon) is the source of this 1984-nucleotide long non-coding RNA. The record is from Ensembl. NCBI's taxonomy places the organism in Eukaryota, Metazoa, Chordata, Mammalia, Primates, Cercopithecidae.